UACGAAGGGGGCUAGCGUUGCUCGGAAUCACUGGGCGUAAAGCGCACGUAGGCGGAUUGUUAAGUCAGGGGUGAAAUCCUGGAGCUCAACUCCAGAACUGCCUUUGAUACUGACGGUCUUGAGUUCGGGAGAGGUGAGUGGAACUGCGAGUGUAGAGGUGAAAUUCGUAGAUAUUCGCAAGAACACCAGUGGCGAAGGCGGCUCACUGGCCCGAUACUGACGCUGAGGCGCGAAAGCGUGGGGAGCAAACAGG
RNAcentral lists this ribosomal RNA (253 nucleotides) under uncultured bacterium. Its description in RNAcentral is "partial 16S ribosomal RNA". It matches the Rfam family "Bacterial small subunit ribosomal RNA", at positions 524 to 776 of the family's 1533-position model. The record is from RNAcentral.